CGCGGGCGGCGGACGGGGCGGCGCCCCCGCGGCGUGCAGACGGCCUGCUGGGGACCCCCAGUGGUCACCGGGAGUCACGGCUUCCCCGCGGCAGGAAAGCUCGCGGCCUCGGGGGACGUACGGGCCUCCGCUGUGGUGGCUCUUUCUCGGGGUCACCAGGGCUCUUUUCUCCGGAGUCAGAGGAGAGAGAGGCAGAGACACAGGCAGAGGGAGAAGCAAGGCUCCAUGCAGGGAGCCCGACGUGGGACUCGAUCCCAAGACUCCAGGGCCAUGCCCUGGGCCGAAGGCAGGCACCAAAGCGCUGAGCCAUCCAGGGAUCCCCAAGGACUUUUCAAUUGUAAUGAAGUUAAGGAUCGUGUGAUGAGACCAUCCUGGAUUACCUGGGUGGGCCCUAAAUCCAAUGCCGGUGUCCACAGAGGAAAGAGAGAGAGGUAGAGGAGAAGGUCCUAUGAACAGUGAGGCAGAGAUUGGAGUUACUUGGUCACAAGCCAGGGAAUGCCUGGAGCCACCAGAAGCUAGAAAAGGCAAGGAAAGACGUCUCCUCACAAACCCUUCAGAGGCAGCGUGACCUACCAGCACCUUGAUUUCAAACUUCUGGCCUCCGGAACAGUGAAAGAAUAGAGUGCUGUUGUUUUACGCCAACAGCUUAUGGGAAUUUUCUAAAACAUUUACUUAUUUGAGAGAGAGAGCUCAUGCACGCAAGCAGGGGAGGAGUGGAGGGAGGGAGAGACAGUUCAAGUGGACUCCCCACUGAGCACAGAGGCCAUGGGAGACUCGAUCUCACCACCCUGAGAUCACGACCUGAGCCGAAAUCAAGAGUCAAAUGCUCAACCAACUGAGUCGCCCAGGCACCCCAGUUUAUGGUAGUUUUCAAAGGCAAUCUCAGGAAAGUAAUACAUUACAUAUAUAUUUACUGAGCACAUUCACUGUGCAAAACACCAUGCUAGGUACUGGGGAUAGAGCAGUAAACAAAGACUCUCAUAGAGCUUAUCUUCCAAGGAAGAAACAGAUUAACACCCUGGUGAUUAAACCAACAAGAAACCAUCUGAGAAUGAAAAGUCCUACAAAUAAAUAUUUCAUAGUGAUUUGGUAACGAGUGAAUGAGGAAUGCUACUCCAGACGGGGUAAUUGGGAAAGACCUCGUUGAGGAGGUAACAUUUUAGCUGAUAUCAUUCAGAAAUGGCUGUUAAAAAUUGGGAAGUAUCGGAGUGGGGCUGGACUUUUUCCAAAGAAAGUCAGGAGAGAGCCAGAAAAAAAUGCUAUUUUGUAAAACUAUUACUGUGCUCCCUUUAAGAACCCCAAAAUUGCUUUUUUUAAACUGUGUUUCUUGGAGCCUUAAGGUGACCUGCUAGAACCCCUCUGGGAGCCACAACUGGAGGGAGAUCUGGAGAGGAUUCAGUUAGGCCUCUAUAUUUCCGAUGUCUCUACUAAUCAGAAAAGAGGAGGACCUGCCAGCUUCAUGUACAUACAGCUCCCAAGCAAGCUUUUAUUUUUAUUUUUAUUUUUAUUUUUUUUUAAGAUUUUAUUUAUUUACUCAUGAGACACAGCGAGAGAGAGAGGCAGAGACACAGGCAGAGGGAGAAGCAGACCCCAUGCAGGGAGCCCGACGCAGGACUCGAUCCUGGGACUCGAUCCUGGGACUCGAUCCUGGGACUCCAGGAUCACACCCUGAGCCGAAGGCAGGCGCUAAACCUCUGAGCCACCAAGGAUCCCCCCAAGCAAGCUUUUACUGAAGAAAGUAUUCCACGGCUUAGAGAAAAUUUGAAAACACUGUCUCAAGUUGGUGUAGCCUAGGAAACAUGAAAUUAUGCUCUGUAGAAUGUGUUCUCUCCAGGGCUUUCUGCUCCUCAAGGUACAGCCAGUAGUUCACCAGGAUCUGCAUAGACUGAGGGAAGGACAUAGAACUUUUCUCCUUCCUCCCGGAUUCUGUCUUCCCUUUGACUGACAUCCACUCCUCCAAAAUAUCUAAUUUCUCCUCAGGAAAGAAGUCUUUGCUUCAGUAAAACUUACUUAACUAGAAGACAUACUUGGAUUAUGUUAUAUUCUUACUUUUUAACCUUGACCUACAAUAGUUCAGUUUUCACACUUGGCCUACCUAAAUGUUUUCUCAGGAUCCUACCCUGGUGAGACCCGUGGAUUGCUUCACAGCAGUGCUAAGUGAGGCCAGGGACCAAGCAGGACAUCCCGUUGGUGGCAGGCUCCUCCCCCCGUAGGCAGACACAAAAAAAUAAGAAGCUACAGGGUAAAGUUGAAGACUUCUGUGGAUUUGACCAGGCCACUUCCAGGCUUCUUCGGCCCCAUAUUUACCUGUUAGAAUUAGACCAUCUGUAAGUAACAGAAAGAAACUGAGAACCAGUGGCUUCAACAAGAGAUGAUAGAGAGGAUAUUUUUAUUUCUCUCUCCUAAGACGUCCAGGUAGUCGUCAGGCCAAUCCAGCGUGACUCUGGACACUGAGGGACCGGGUUGCUUCUGUCUUGCAGCCAUGCAGGGGGACUUCUAUCCCAGGGUCACCGCAAGUUUCAAAGUGGCUGCUCUCCAAAGUUCUUUUUGAAGCCAUGCUUCCAAAUGACUGCUCUCUCCAAAGGAUAGACAAAGUGGGGAGUGGGGUGGGACAGGGGGAGGACGUGUCUUUUCACUUUAAAGACACUUCCCGGAAGUUGCAAUUAGUACUUCUGCUUAAAUUUCAUUGGACAAAACUUAGCCACAAAAGAGCAGAGAAAUGUAGUCCUUUUUCCCAGGUAGCCAUGUGCCAACUUAAAAUGAGGGCCUUUAUUACUUACUGCCUUCCUCCUAGCUCUGCAACCUCCCUUGCCCUGUGCUCAGUGCUCAUUCUGACGCCCUGAGCUCCGCUGCAUGGUCCUGCUUCCACUGCCUCGAGCAGAUAGAUCAGCUCCUUCCGAUUGAAAGCAGAAAGUCUUUUGCAUGUUCUCUUCCUCUCUGGGUCACUCUUCCCCAGCCCCACAGCCCACCCUCCUUAUCUAUUUAAUUCCUGUUUAUCCUCCAGGAAUUAACCCGAUCAACACUGCCAGUCCCAAACAGGGUCAAGUGUGCCUCUACCUGUGUCUCAGAGGAGCAUAUGUUUCUCAUCUGUAGCACUGACCACAGUUACAUUUUGACAUUUCCUUGUUUGGUUAUUUGAUUCCUGAUUAUCUCUUCCUUUAAACAGUAAGUCAGCUUGUCUAUCGUUUACAGCUGUAUCCCCGGUAGCCCCUGUAUCCCUUGCUUAGUAUCUGUAUUUAGAAGAUGCCCAAUAAACAUGAGUUAUACCAUUUAAAUGUUGUGCUUCAUGAACAUUGUACAAAUUUCUUUGAAAAAAAUCUACUUAUGAUAAAUACAACAUAUAUGUCUCAUUAUAAACUUUUCCUUUCAUCUGCCAAAUAAUAAAAUCUAAAAUUUUCCUUCUU
Canis lupus familiaris (dog) is the source of this 3404-nucleotide long non-coding RNA. RefSeq lists it as uncharacterized. Lineage: Eukaryota; Metazoa; Chordata; Mammalia; Carnivora; Canidae. The transcript is spliced from 2 exons. The record is from RefSeq and is a predicted model, not a curated record.